Molecule: long non-coding RNA, 646 nt
Organism: Ochotona princeps (American pika)
Lineage: Eukaryota; Metazoa; Chordata; Mammalia; Lagomorpha; Ochotonidae
Exons: 3
Source: RefSeq, a predicted model, not a curated record
AGGGCAGGCUGCAUUUGCCUGGCCUUUCCCUUUCUCUUGCCACCCUCCCACCACCACCACCUCGGUUCUUGGGUUUGCUAAAAGAAAUUCUUUUAGGUAAGUACACAAGUUCCUUAUCUCACUGUAGAUUAAUUAGUGGGUGAUUAACAGCUUCUGGACUAAGUCUUAGGCAUCAGACCAUGAGGGACAUGGGAACGGCCAGUGGUCUCAAAUACUCAAAGCACGCCCAGCAACUGGGGAAGGCCUUAUGACUGGAUUCCAGCUGGUGGCUUAUGCAUGAAGAGUUCCCCUCCACCUUGCUGCCUGACUCCUCCGGGUUCCCUGUUUCCCUCCAGCCUGAAAAGCUGAUGACUCUGGAAGUGUUGGAAGCCACCUGUUGAAAGCAUGAGAGCCUCCACCACUGCUGUCCACUUGGUCUAUGAACCACCAUGUAGCAGAGCCCUGGGUACUCACUGCCCAGGACCAAUAAACAAUUAAUGAUAAAACUGUGCUGGUGGUACAUCAGGGAUGAAGGGAUUGUGGUAGCAGAUGUGGCAAAACUGGAACACACAUCCCAAUGUAUGCCUCUGCCUGCAGCAUUGGCCUGCUGACCUCUGAGCCCUUGGGGCUGCAUGCAGUAAGGUCAGCAUCACUUACAGGAGAGCGU